CAUUAAGUCCCGUCAAAGCAACGUGGAUUUGGUUGUAGUCUCACAGAAACGUGACCAGAACGUGGUUACACUUUUUAAAAAGCUAACACCUGAACAACUGAAAAAGGCAGCACGACUACUGCAGGGGGAUGGAAAGAGGAAGCUGGGAAACGCAGCUGGGGACGGCGGCGCGAGGGGCGAGGAGCAUCGAGAACGUUACACGCCGACAGCUGAACCGCCAUGGCUACCCCACGGUCAAAACGUGCUCCAAUUUCUGGCUCACCGGGCUCCAUUUUGGAGUACACAAUUGUUCACAGUCAUCACCAACGUGAAGGUGCCUUGGGAAACAGCAGGUACCAAAGUUGGACCGUGACUUGUCUGGCGCUCCCGAUCCCCACGCGUGUCAGGACGAGCGACGACAAAAUUCUCGCAGAAUUUUUGAAAGCUAUUAUUUAAUGAUGAUGUUAUUCGCCAGGCAAUUAAAAAUACUUUAAAUUA
Molecule: long non-coding RNA, 477 nt
Organism: Felis catus (domestic cat)
Lineage: Eukaryota; Metazoa; Chordata; Mammalia; Carnivora; Felidae
Exons: 2
Source: RefSeq, a predicted model, not a curated record